Molecule: small nucleolar RNA, 127 nt
Filed under: Spermophilus dauricus (Daurian ground squirrel)
Lineage: Eukaryota; Metazoa; Chordata; Mammalia; Rodentia; Sciuridae
Description: Small nucleolar RNA SNORA1 (ENSSDAG00000009525.1)
Rfam family: Small nucleolar RNA SNORA1
About the family: ACA1 is a member of the H/ACA class of snoRNA that guide the sites of modification of uridines to pseudouridines.
Source: RNAcentral
AGCUCAUUCUAGAUGAGAAUGGGCACUGUUGAUCAGUGUCCAAAAUAGAUCAAUGUGGCUAAAUUGACACAGGUUAUGCAUCCAUCACAUUAUAUGUAUGGCAGUGAUAAUAUUUUGCUUAAGCUCA